CAUCCGCCUCCAAUAUCACUGAGGUAGUGGAAGUUGCUGCAACAGCCACCUCCAAUAUCACUGAGGUAGUGGAAGUUGCUGCAACAGCCACCUCCAAUAUCACUGAGGUAGUGGAAGUUGCUGACCUAGGGGUAGAACCAGAGGCUUUUCCAACCAUUUUGGAGCAACUAAUGAGUACUUCAUCCCCAUGGGGAGCAUCUUUCAUUGAAGAGAGCCACCGGGACCUUCAACGCUCACCGGCUAGUGCAGAUAGAGGGAGUAUUGGCAAAGCACGGACACCUAUAUCUGGAGGAAGCAGCUUCAGCCUGGAGACUGCCCGCCGGCGCUUCCGGCAAUUCUGUUACCAAGAUACUGAGGGUCCACGAAAGGCAUGUGGUCAGCUCUGGGAGCUUUGCAAUCAUUGGCUGAAGCCAAAGAAUCGCACAAAGGAACAGAUUCUUGACGUCCUAAUCUUGGAGCAGUUCUUGGCUGUUCUCCCUCCUGGAAUCCGAAGUAGGGUAUGGGAAUGUAGCCCGGAGACUUGCGCACGGGCAGUGGCCCUAGCAGAGGAGUUCCUAGCCAAGCAGAAUGAAGCAGAAAGACCAGAGGAGGAGGUAAGAUGGGAUUUUGACUUAUUUGAGGAGGUAGUGGUGACAUUUCCUAAUGAAGACCAAGUCCUUUCAGAUACUGAGCAUGGAGAUAUAUGCAUGGAAACUGGACAGCAGGUUGAUGGAGACAUAUGUUUGCUUGCAGGUGCCCAGACUCCCAACAGGGCAGAUCCUCAGAUGAUAUUUGGAGAAAGACUCAAUGGCGGUGUGCAGCAUUUGGCUCCGAAGAGGAUACGGAUAAGAGAGAAACGGCACCCUUGCAUUGAAUGUGGGAAGCGUUUCCGUUGCCAAUCAGAACUGGCCCUACAUCAAAAAGUCCACACCCGGCCCAAAUCCUAUCACUGCGCUGAAUGUGGGAAACAGUUUGGUCGAUCCUCACAUCUCACCAGGCAUCAGAAAACCCACAUGAGUGAGGAGUGCCAUGUCUGCAUCGAAUGUGGCAAGCGAUUCCGGUGGUCCACGGAGCUAGUCAUCCACCAGAGGAUCCAUGCCGUUGAACAGCCGCACUACAACAUGGAUGCUGACACUUUGGGUCAGUGGCCCUCCGAGUUCAGUAUAAUGCAGAAUAUUUUUACAGGUGAGAAAGCUCCUCCCAAUGGCGAGAUGGUAAAACCUCACACAGUCAAGAAGCCUCACCUUUGCCCUGAAUGUGGGAAAGGGUUCCGGUGGCCCUCUGAACUCGCCGCUCAUCAGAAAACUCACAACAAGAACAAGCACUACCUCUGUCCCGAGUGUGGGAAGGGAUUCCAGUGGCCCUCAGAGCUGACAGCCCAUCAGAGCACCCACACAGGCAACAGUUUGCCUCCCAUUGCUGAUUGUGAGAACAGCAUCAGCCAGCCACCUCAUCAUCCUCCCUACCUGGGAACUGGCAUGACAGAGAAACGCCAUGCUUGCGGAGAAUGUGGCAAGGCGUUCCGAUGGCCAUCGGAACUUGCCACCCACCAGCGCAUCCACACAGGAGAAAAACGCUACUUCUGUACAGAGUGUGAGAAGGGGUUCAUAUGGCCUUCAGAGCUGGCCGCUCACCAGCGAACCCACACUGAGAAGCAAGCUUACCAGUGCACGGAGUGUGGGAAAAUAUUCCAUGAUCUCUACGGUCUCACGAGACACCAGAAGACCCACCUGGGAACCAAGGUCUACCCUUGCACCGAGUGUGGAAAAACCUUCAGUCGGCAAUCCCAUCUGACUCGGCAUCGGAUCACCCACACUGGCGAGAGACCCUACCCGUGUAUUGAAUGUGGGAAACGGUUUGGCCGACAGUCGCACCUCACUCGGCAUCUUAGAAUUCACACCGGAGAAAGACCCUAUCAGUGUGGUGAGUGCGGAGUGAGGUUUAGGCGGAGACACAGCAUGAUGUACCAUCAGCGGAUCCAUUUGAGAGAGUCCAGUGAAGGUCUGGACAUGAUGAACCCUCCUAACGCAGAAAGCCUCGUUGAUCCUCUCCUGAGUCCUAUCCAUGUCACAAUUUGACACGUUGGGUGGUAGAGAAGUAAUUUCAGAAGGAACACGGGAUGGGUGAGUGGGACACUUCGAUCACAACAUUUGGAAGAGAUUCUCGUGGUUAUAUUAUUUCACCAGGGUCUGUAUCACAGACAGGGUCCAAGAGGCACACGUUUCAGGAUUCCAUACAGCCUGGCAGAGAAUGCUAGCACAACAGGGCCUGCGAUUUGUGUAAACGCUGUAAAGGAUUCUGGGACAAGAUGCCUACGCUGUUCUCUUGACCAUGAAUUGCUCUGUAGUUGGGCUGAAAAACAGGGCUGCCCCCCAGAAACAGAUCUGGUAGAUUGGUGGCCAGGUUUAGCCCUGUGGUCCUAAUUUUAGAUCUGGCUCCUGCAGAGCUUCGAUAGCGGGAAAGAAACAUUUGAUAGCCAGGAUGGGUCUCCCCUUGCUACUCAUAUCAGGCAGUGCAGUGUUUGUUCCCUGGAACACCUUGUGGUGGGGUAUUGGACAGAAUCUGCUUUUCUCACUUCCUUCACUUCUUUCUGUGGCACAUAUGUGGGUCAAGCUGGGAUUGUUGCGAUGAGAGAACUCUGUGGGGCCAUCAUGUUGUUCCUUGCAGGCCAGGGCACUCCUUGCUUUUACACUGUUGGUAUGUAGAAAGAAAUCAGUAAUACUUUUCCCACUCUUACGCUGUUGCAGUGUGGAAAGCUGACCUUUCCCACUUUUUAAAAUAAUAAUAAUAUAAUAAUAAAAACCUCUUUAUGUGCAAGAGUCUGAUUUGGAAUUGAAUCCAACAACCUAUUACUUCAGUGGCAACUCUUCAUUUCUAACAAUCCUCCCAAGGCAAAGAAAUCAGCUAAUCAAUCUAUUUUGAAAGACAACAUGGUAGGCUCUCCAAAGAUACUUUCUCUGAGAUACUUUCACUCUCCACGGCACUUCUGUUUUUCCUUUCCUCUUUUCUUGGGAAAUCUGGGUGAAAUUUCCUUCCUUCCCUGGGGGCUAAAUUACUUUAAUGAAAUAAGGCAGUGCUUGGGCCUUCAGAGCAGUGGUUUUCAACCGUGGCAAAUUUCAGAUAGGUGGACUUCAACUCCCAGAAUGUUGAUGUACUGGGUGGGGAAUUUUGGGAAUUGAAGUCCACACAUCUGAAAUUGACCACGGUUGAGAAAACUUGCUUCAGAAGAAAAGAAGAGCACAUUCACUUUCACUAUAUUGCUAUAGCUUUCCCUCACCUGGGACUCUGCAGAUGUCUAGAAUGGCAUUUCUUUUUAUCCUUAGCCACCACGGUCAUGCUUUUGGGGUGAUGUGAGUUAUAAUCCAACACGUAGAAAGAUAGCAGAUGUAGAAAGGCUGAGCUAUUAUUUAUUUAUUAUUUUUGAGAGUAUUUAUCUCGUUUUUUGUUUUUUUUUUAAAUCCAAUAAGGCCAUGAAUUAAAAGAAACUACAUUGCAGAGUAGAGUAAAAUCACUACAAAAUAACAGCUGGACCAAGCUGUUGUUUCACCAUCAAAUAAUAUUAAAAUUAGAGAUAUGACGAAAGGUUCUAUAACCUACAAUAUUUCUAAAAUGUCUUGAGGAAUGGCAAUAUCCACACGGCCGCCUCUGGAAGGCAAUCCAGAAUGAUGGGUUGGUUUUUUUCCAUAAAGGUUUUUUUUUGUUUGUUUUUUAGAGUAAUGGUUCUGUGGAAAAUAUUUGGUACUUCCAACAUAGCUUCUUGGUGGAGGGAAUGUAAUCCCACACAUAGAAAGAUAGCAGAUGUAGGAAGGCUAAACUAUUAUUUAUUAUUUUUUGAGAGUAUUUAUCGGGGUGUGUUUUUUUUUUAGUCCAGUAAGGCCUUGAAUUAAAACAAACUACAUUGUAGUACAGUAAAAUCGCUACAAAUAACAGCUGGACCAAACUGUUGCUUCACCAUCAAAUAAUAUCAAAAUUAUCAGAGAUAAUGAAAGGCUCUAAAACCUACAAUAUUUCUAAAAUGUCAUGAGGAAUGACAAUAUUCACACAGCCUCUUCUGGAAGGUGAUCCAGAGUGAUGGUUCUAUGGGGAAUAUAUAUAUAUAUGUGUGUGUGUAUUUUGUACCUCCAAUGUAGCCUCUUGAUGGAGGGAAUGAUUUGAGAUGUGAAGGCUUUGGUUGGAAAACAGAUGUUGCCUUAACCUAGUUCUGCAUUUCUGAAAUGGUUCAGUCCUAUGUUUAUUUACUUAGAAUUAUAUUCCACUCUUUCAGGGGGAUUUACUCCCUAAAACUAUUUGGACAUAAAACUAAGAAACCAAAAUAUUUGGCCUAUAGAUAGGAACAAAGAAGAAUAUAUUUUUGUGACUCUGUUAUCAAAUGUGAACAGAGAGAGAGUUUUGAAACCGAAAUGGAAAAGGUACCUUCAGAAGAGUUAGAGGUGAAAGACCACACUUUGUGGCAGUUUUUGUUCUAAGAUCUUUUCUCUCUCUCUCUUUGUAUUGGCUUUGUAAUGAUAAGGGAGAUCUCCCCACCAACUUUUUUUUUUUAAUCCAUCUUGGAAAGUAUGGAAUCCCUGAAGAAUGAACAUCCUUUUGGAAAUAAUUUCAGAAUAAAGAACUUUCACAAUUA
Molecule: non-coding RNA, 4600 nt
Organism: Thamnophis sirtalis
Lineage: Eukaryota; Metazoa; Chordata; Lepidosauria; Squamata; Natricidae
Source: RefSeq, a predicted model, not a curated record